Molecule: long non-coding RNA, 970 nt
Filed under: Ornithorhynchus anatinus (platypus)
Lineage: Eukaryota; Metazoa; Chordata; Mammalia; Monotremata; Ornithorhynchidae
Description: lncRNA (ENSOANG00000033390.2)
Source: RNAcentral
UUUUCCCUGGCCGUGCAUUGAUCUCUCUCUUUUUCUCCCUCUUUUUUUUUUUCUUCCCUCCUCCUCCCCCCUCCCUCCCUCAUUUUUUUCCCCAGUGGACUUUGAUCCCAGGAGAAGAGCUCGUGCGGGAUAACUGAGCCAGGACCGAGCUUUGUGGGAUUUAUCGGAGCCCAAUUCCUUCAGCAGCAGCAGGAGCAGGAAAAAGACCGGCUCCGGGGAAGAGCUCAGCCCCGGUAGGACCGGCUGAGAGAAGCGCUCUGCCCCUCCGUCCCCCCGAGUCCCCUCGGUCCAGGACCGGAGGGGAUGGACAGAGCCCCCCGGUUCCUGCCGCGACCCCCUUUCCCCCCCCGGACUUUUGAUUGACCCCUCCUCCCGCCCUCUGCCCGGAUGGACGGAGAGUAAGUAAUUCCCCCCUCACCGUCCAUCCAGGGUGAACCACUGCUCGCUCCCCGCCUCUGGUGGCGACCAACAUCCCGGGUGGACCACUGCCCGCUCCCAGAGUUGGGAUUGGGCCCCUGCGACUUAGAAAAAGGCCUGGGUCAGGGGGUCGCGGGGUGGGCAGGGGAAAGGAGGGAGAGAAGACGAAGCUGGACGCUUUGGAGACACCAUGGGCGCAGAGGGCGGGAGCCAGGUCUGCCGGGCUCCGAAAUAAUCCCACCCGGGCACGAUGUCCACCAGCGGAUUGCCGAUGUUUGGGAAAUAGCUCUGCCAGGCGAGGCUGGCCCGGGAAUACCUGCUUUGAGAAACCAAGAAGUCUCUCCAUCCCAUCAUAUUGGCAAAUUGGAAAGAGAUCUCCUCGCCCUGCUAUGGAAAAUGAACUGCUGUAGAUAAAGAUUAUUGCAUCGGGAGGUGAACAGGCUAUAAUACACUUCAGUUUUAAGGAUCCAAACCAAGAGACUUGCUCUGAACAUGAGACCCAGGCUGCACUGUGCGGUGAAGAGUUGCAAGGUUCGAGAGGCAUUUGUAGGUG